Molecule: ribosomal RNA, 301 nt
Filed under: uncultured bacterium
Lineage: Bacteria
Description: partial 16S ribosomal RNA
Rfam family: Bacterial small subunit ribosomal RNA
Source: RNAcentral
CAGUCGCCGCGGUAAAACGUAGGUGGCGAGCGUUGUCCGGAAUUAUUGGGCGUAAAGGGCUCGCAGGCGGUUUCUUAAGUCUGAUGUGAAAGCCCCCGGCUCAACCGGGGAGGGUCAUUGGAAACUGGGAAACUUGAGUGCAGAAGAGGAGAGUGGAAUUCCACGUGUAGCGGUGAAAUGCGUAGAGAUGUGGAGGAACACCAGUGGCGAAGGCGACUCUCUGGUCUGUAACUGACGCUGAGGAGCGAAAGCGUGGGGAGCGAACAGGAUUAGAUACCCGUGUAGUCCCUGUCUCUUAUAC